UACGAAGGGGGCUAGCGUUGUUCGGAAUUACUGGGCGUAAAGCGCGCGCAGGCGGCCUUUCAAGUCAGGGGUGAAAGCCCGGAGCUCAACUCCGGAAUUGCCUUUGAAGCUGUCAGGCUCGAGUACGGGAGAGGUGAGUGGAAUUCCCAGUGUAGAGGUGAAAUUCGUAGAUAUUGGGAAGAACACCGGUGGCGAAGGCGGCUCACUGGCCCGUUUCUGACGCUCAGGCGCGACAGCGUGGGGAUCGAAACAGG
RNAcentral lists this ribosomal RNA (254 nucleotides) under uncultured bacterium. RNAcentral's name for it is "partial 16S ribosomal RNA". It matches the Rfam family "Bacterial small subunit ribosomal RNA", at positions 524 to 776 of the family's 1533-position model. The record is from RNAcentral.